Molecule: ribosomal RNA, 464 nt
Filed under: uncultured bacterium
Lineage: Bacteria
Description: partial 16S ribosomal RNA
Rfam family: Bacterial small subunit ribosomal RNA
Source: RNAcentral
GACGAACGCUGGCGGCGUGCUUAACACAUGCAAGUCGAACGGAAAGGCCCUGCUUGCAGGGUACUCGAGUGGCGAACGGGUGAGUAACACGUGGGUGAUCUGCCCUGCACUUCGGGAUAAGCCUGGGAAACUGGGUCUAAUACCGGAUAGGAGCCAUUUUUAGUGUGAUGGUUGGAAAGUUUUUUCGGUGUAGGAUGAGCUCGCGGCCUAUCAGCUUGUUGGUGGGGUAAUGGCCUACCAAGGCGGCGACGGGUAGCCGGCCUGAGAGGGUGGACGGCCACAUUGGGACUGGGAUACGGCCCAGACUCCUACGGGAGGCAGCAGUGGGGAAUAUUGCACAAUGGGCGCAAGCCUGAUGCAGCGACGCCGCGUGGGGGAUGACGGCCUUCGGGUUGUAAACUCCUUUCGCUAGGGACGAAGCUUUUGUGACGGUACCUAGAUAAGAAGCACCGGCUAACUACGUG